RNAcentral lists this ribosomal RNA (428 nucleotides) under uncultured bacterium. RNAcentral's name for it is "bacterial SSU rRNA". It matches the Rfam family "Bacterial small subunit ribosomal RNA", at positions 354 to 796 of the family's 1533-position model. The record is from RNAcentral.
GUGGGGAAUAUUGGGCAAUGGGCGAAAGCCUGACCCAGCAACGCCGCGUGAGGGAAGAAGGCCUUCGGGUUGUAAACCUCUGUCCUUGGUGACGAAGAAAGUGACGGUAGCCAAGGAGGAAGCCCCGGCUAACUACGUGCCAGCAGCCGCGGUAAUACGUAGGGGGCGAGCGUUGUCCGGAAUUACUGGGCGUAAAGGGUGCGUAGGUGGCCUUUUAAGUUGGAUGUGAAAUACCCGGGCUUAACUUGGGGGGUGCAUCUAGUACUGGGAGGCUAGAGUGCAGGAGAGGGAAGCGGAAUUCCUAGUGUAGCGGUGAAAUGCGUAGAUAUGCGGAGGAACACCGAUGGCGAAGGCAAUCCCCUGGGCCUGUACUGACGCUCAUGCACGAAAGCGUGGGGAGCAAACAGGAUUAGAUACCCUUGUAGUCC